GAUGAGAGUUCUAGAUUAGAGUUUCUUUUGUAUUUUAUUCCCUGUCUAGGUGAUUUUUUCAGAUAUUUUCAGACAUCUUAGUCGACUAACUUUUCACUCGACUGCAGCUUAGAAGAGUACUACGAGGUUUGACCCUCAUCUAGACUCUUGUCUAGUAAUUAAAUGGAGGAAUAAAAAUAAUUUUUCUUGUAUGUCCCCAUUUCUUCACA
RNAcentral lists this long non-coding RNA (209 nucleotides) under Zostera marina. RNAcentral's name for it is "long non-coding RNA (ZMAR_LNC003885)". The record is from RNAcentral. Lineage: Eukaryota; Viridiplantae; Streptophyta; Magnoliopsida; Alismatales; Zosteraceae.